Molecule: ribosomal RNA, 538 nt
Filed under: uncultured bacterium
Lineage: Bacteria
Description: bacterial SSU rRNA
Rfam family: Bacterial small subunit ribosomal RNA
Source: RNAcentral
GGAUUAGCUAGUUGGUGAGGUAAAGGCUCACCAAGGCGACGAUCCGUAACUGGUCUGAGAGGAUGAUCAGUCACACUGGAACUGAGACACGGUCCAGACUCCUACGGGAGGCAGCAGUGGGGAAUAUUGGACAAUGGGCGAAAGCCUGAUCCAGCCAUGCCGCGUGUGUGAAGAAGGUCUUCGGAUUGUAAAGCACUUUAAGUUGGGAGGAAGGGCAGUAAGUUAAUACCUUGCUGUUUUGACGUUACCAACAGAAUAAGCACCGGCUAACUUCGUGCCAGCAGCCGCGGUAAUACGAAGGGUGCAAGCGUUAAUCGGAAUUACUGGGCGUAAAGCGCGCGUACGUGGCUCGUUAAGUUGGAUGUGAAAGCCCCGGGCUCAACCUGGGAACUGCAUCCAAAACUGGCGAGCUAGAGUAUGGCAGACGGUGGUGGAAUUUCCUGUGUAGCGGUGAAAUGCGUACAUAUAGGAAGGACCACCAGUGGCGAACGCGACCACCUGGGCUAAUACUGACACUGAGGCGCGAAAGCGUGGGGAG